Long non-coding RNA from Etheostoma cragini (Arkansas darter), 156 nucleotides. RefSeq lists it as uncharacterized. The transcript has 3 exons. The record is from RefSeq and is a predicted model, not a curated record. Lineage: Eukaryota; Metazoa; Chordata; Actinopteri; Perciformes; Percidae.
CACACACACACACACACACACACACACACACGCCCGUUGUACUAUCUUUGUGAAGCGCCAUCAUUGACAUAAUGCAUUCCCUAGCCCCUUACCCUAACCUUAACCAUCCCAACUAAAUGCCAAACCUUAACCAGUACCCUCACCUUAACCAUAACG